AUUGAACGCUGGCGGCAGGCCUAACACCUGCAAGUCGAACGAGUGGCGGACGGGUGAGUAAUGUCUGGGAAACUGCCUGAUGGAGGGGGAUCACUACUGGAAACGGUAGCUAAUACCGCAUACCAUCGGAUGUGCCCAGAUGGGAUUAGCUAGUAGGUGGGGUAAAGGCUCACCUAGGCGACGAUCCCUAGCUGGUCUGAGAGGAUGACCAGCCACACUGGAACUGAGACACGGUCCAGACUCCUACGGGAGGCAGCAGUGGGGAAUAUUGCACAAGGGGCGCAAGCCUGAUGCAGCCAGGCCGCGUGUGUGAAGAAGGCCUUCGGGUUGUAAAGUACUUUCAGCGAGGAGGCGUUACCCGCAGAAGAAGCACCGGCUAACUCCGUGCCAGCAGCCGCGGUAAUUC
RNAcentral lists this ribosomal RNA (406 nucleotides) under uncultured bacterium. Its description in RNAcentral is "partial 16S ribosomal RNA". It matches the Rfam family "Bacterial small subunit ribosomal RNA", at positions 30 to 526 of the family's 1533-position model. The record is from RNAcentral.